This 1923-nucleotide non-coding RNA is filed under the name Triticum aestivum (bread wheat). RNAcentral describes it as "bacterial SSU rRNA". It matches the Rfam family "Bacterial small subunit ribosomal RNA". Lineage: Eukaryota; Viridiplantae; Streptophyta; Magnoliopsida; Poales; Poaceae. The record is from RNAcentral.
UGAGUUUGAUCCUGGCUUAGAAGGAACGCUAGCUAUAUGCUUAACACAUGCAAGUCGAACGUUUUUUUCGGGGAGCUGGGCAGAAGGAAAAGAGGCUCCUAGCUAAAGUUGUCUCGCCCUGCUUCAAAACUACAGGGCGCGCGCUACGGCUUUGACCUAACGGCCUCCGUUUGCUGGAAUCAGAAUAGUUGAGAACAAAGUGGCGAACGGGUGCAUAAAGCAUGGGAAUCUGCCAAACAGUUCAGGCGAAAUCCUGAAGAAAGCUCAAAAGUGCUGUUUGAUGAGCCUGCGUAGUAUUAGGUAGUUGGUCAGGUAAAGGCUGACCAAGCCAAUGAUGCUUAGCUGGUCUUUUCAGAUGAUCAGCCACACUAGGACUGAGACACGGCCCGGACUCCCAUGGGGGGCAGCAAUGGGGAAUCUUGGACAAUGGGCGAAAGCCCGAUCUAGCAAUAUCGCGUGAGUGAAGAAGGGCAAUGCCGCUUGUAAAGCUCUUUCGUCGAGUGCACGAUCAUGACAGGACUUGAGGAAGAAGCCCCGACUAACUCCUUACCAGCAGCCGCGGUAAGAUGGGGGGGGCAAGUGUUCUUCGGAAUGACUGGGUGUAAAGGGCACGUAGGCGGCGAAUCGGGUUGAAAGUGAAAGUCGCCAAAAAGUGGCGGAAUGCUCUCGAAACCAAUUCACUUGAGUGAGACAGAGGAGAGUGGAAUUUCGUGUGUAGGGGUGAAAUCCGUAGAUCUACGAAGGAACGCCAAAAGCGAAGGCAGCUCUCUGGGUCCCUACCGACGCUGGGGUGCGAAAGCAUGGGGAGCGAACAGGAUUAGAUACCCUGGUAGUCCAUGCCGUAAACGAUGAGUGUUCUCCCUUGGUCUACGCAGAUCAGGGCCCAGCUAACGCGUGAAACACUCCGCCUAGGGAGUAAAGUCGCAAGACCGAAACUCAAAGGAAUUGACGGGGGCCUGCACAAGCGGUGGAGCAUGUGGUUUAAUUCGAUACAACACGCAAAACCUUACCAGCCCUUGACAUAUGAACAACAAAACCUGCCCUUACCAAGAUGGUACUGACUUUCAUACAGGUGAUGCAUGGCUGUCGUCAGCUUGUGUCAUGAGAUGUUUGGUCAAGUCCUAUAACGAGCAAAACCCUCGUUUUGUGUUGUUGAGACAUGCGCCUAAGGAGAAAUUGCCACCGAGUGACGUGCCAACACUACUACUUGAUUGAGUGCCAUCAUGUAGCUGUGCUUUCAGCAAGAAUUUCACCAUUGGGAGCCGGUGCCUUUCGAAGCACUUUCAUGUGUGAACCGAAGUCGUCUUGCCCAAGACCCACGGAGACCUACCUAUAGUGAUGUCAAAGUACCAGUGAGCAUGGAGGUUUGGUUGAAAUUGGUUACGACGAUGUCGAGUUGGCGGCGAAGGAAGACUCAGCAUGAAGGCCAGAAAAUGGUGUGGAAUGUAGUGGUAAUAGUACGCGCCCCGCUCCGAAACAAAGAAAAAGGUGCGUGCCGCACUCACGAGGGACUGCCAGUGAGAUACUAGAGGAAGGUGGGGAUGACGUCAAGUCCGCAUGGCCCUUAUGGGCUGGGCCACACGUGUGCUACAAUGGCAAUGACAAUGGGAAGCAAGGCUGUAAGGCGGAGCGAAUCCGGAAAGACUGCCUUAGUUCGGAUUGUUCUCUGCAACUCGGGAACAUGAAGUUGAAAUCGUUAGUAAUCGCGGAUCAGCAUGUCGCGGUGAAUAUGUACCCGGGCCCUGUACACACUGCCCGUCACACCCUGGGAAUUGGUUUCACCUGAAGCAUCGGACCAAUGAUCACCCAUGAAUUACCACUAGUGCCACAAAGGCCUUUGGUGGUCUUAUUGGCUCAUACCACAGUGGGUUCUUCAACUGGGGUGAAGUCGUAACAAGGUAGCCGUAGGGGAACCUGUGGAUG